UACAGGGGAUGCAAGUGUUAUUCGGAAUCAUUGGGCGUAAAGCGUCUGUAGGUGGACAUAUAAGUCUUUUGUUAAAUCUUUAGACUCAACCUAAAAUGUGCAAAAGAAACUAUUUGUCUUGAGUUAGGGAGAGGUAAAGGGAAUUUCCAGUGGAGCGGUGAAAUGCGUAGAUAUUGGAAGGAACACCAGUGGCGAAGGCACUUUACUGGACCUAUACUGACACUGAGAGACGAAAGCUAGGGGAGCAAACAGG
RNAcentral lists this ribosomal RNA (253 nucleotides) under uncultured bacterium. RNAcentral's name for it is "partial 16S ribosomal RNA". It matches the Rfam family "Bacterial small subunit ribosomal RNA", at positions 524 to 776 of the family's 1533-position model. The record is from RNAcentral.